CCUACGGGUGGCAGCAGUGGGGAAUAUUGGACAAUGGGGGGAACCCUGAUCCAGCGACGCCGCGUGAGUGAAGAAGUAUUUCGGUAUGUAAAGCUCUUUCAGCAGGGAAGAAAGAAAUGACGGUACCUGACUAAGAAGCCCCGGCUAACUACGGGCCAGCAGCCGCGGUAAUACGUAGGGGGCAAGCGUUAUCCGGAUUUACUGGGUGUAAAGGGAGCGUAGACGGCGAUGCAAGUCUGAAGUGAAAGGCGGGGGCUCAACCCCCGGACUGCUUUGGAAACUGUAUGGCUGGAGUGCAGGAGAGGUAAGUGGAAUUCGUGGUGUAGCGGUGAAAUGCGUAGAUAUUAGGAGGAACACCAGUGGCGAAGGCGGCUUACUGGACUGUAACUGACGUUGAGGCUCGAAAGCGUGGGGAGCAAACAGGAUUAGAUACCCGGGUAGUC
This 443-nucleotide ribosomal RNA is filed under the name uncultured bacterium. RNAcentral's name for it is "partial 16S ribosomal RNA". It matches the Rfam family "Bacterial small subunit ribosomal RNA", at positions 338 to 795 of the family's 1533-position model. The record is from RNAcentral.